UACGGGGGGGGGCAAGCGUUGUUCGGAAUUACUGGGCGUAAAGGGUGCGUAGGCGGUCCGCUAAGUUGGAUGUGAAACUCUGGGCUUAACCCAGAGCCUGCAUUCAAAACUGACGGGCUAGAGUUCUGGAGGGGGUAGCGGAAGUCCUGGUGUAGCGGUGAAAUGCGCAGAUAUCAGGAGGAACACCGGUGGCGAAGGCGGGUCUCUGGGCCGUAACUGGACGC
RNAcentral lists this ribosomal RNA (224 nucleotides) under uncultured bacterium. RNAcentral describes it as "partial 16S ribosomal RNA". It matches the Rfam family "Bacterial small subunit ribosomal RNA", at positions 524 to 746 of the family's 1533-position model. The record is from RNAcentral.